GACGAACGCUGGCGGCGUGCUUAACACAUGCCAGUCGAACGGAAAGGCCCUGCUUUUGUGGGGUGCUCGAGUGGCGAACGGGUGAGUAACACGUGAGUAACCUGCCCUUGACUUUGGGAUAACUUCAGGAAACUGGGGCUAAUACCGGAUAGGAGCUCCUGCUGCAUGGUGGGGGUUGGAAAGUUUCGGCGGUUGGGGAUGGACUCGCGGCUUAUCAGCUUGUUGGUGGGGUAGUGGCUUACCAAGGCUUUGACGGGUAGCCGGCCUGAGAGGGUGACCGGCCACAUUGGGACUGAGAUACGGCCCAGAAUCCUACGGGAGGCAGCAGUGGGGAAUAUUGCACAAUGGGCGGAAGCCUGAUGCAGCAACGCCGCGUGCGGGAUGACGGCCUUCGGGUUGUAAACCGCUUUCGCCUGUGACGAAGAGUGAGUGACGGUAAUGGGUAAAGAAGCACCGGCUAACUACGUG
This 468-nucleotide ribosomal RNA is filed under the name uncultured bacterium. Its description in RNAcentral is "partial 16S ribosomal RNA". It matches the Rfam family "Bacterial small subunit ribosomal RNA", at positions 28 to 507 of the family's 1533-position model. The record is from RNAcentral.